GUCAGGAUGGCCGAGUGGUCUAAGGCGCCAGACUCAAGUUUCACUUCCUCUGAGUGGGGAUUCUGGUCUCCGAAUGGAGGCGUGGGUUCGAAUCCCACUCCUGACA
RNAcentral lists this transfer RNA (106 nucleotides) under Loxodonta africana (African savanna elephant). It matches the Rfam family "tRNA". From Rfam's summary of the family: Transfer RNA (tRNA) molecules are approximately 80 nucleotides in length. Their secondary structure includes four short double-helical elements and three loops (D, anti-codon, and T loops). Lineage: Eukaryota; Metazoa; Chordata; Mammalia; Proboscidea; Elephantidae. The record is from Rfam by way of RNAcentral.